UACGGAGGGAGCUAGCGUUGUUCGGAAUUACUGGGCGUAAAGCGCACGUAGGUGGCUUUGUAAGUUAGAGGUGAAAGCCCGGGGCUCAACUCCGGAAUUGCCUUUAAGACUGCAUCGCUAGAACGUCGGAGAGGUAAGUGGAAUUCCGAGUGUAGAGGUGAAAUUCGUAGAUAUUCGGAAGAACACCAGUGGCGAAGGCGACUUACUGGACGACUGUUGACACUGAGGUGCGAAAGCGUGGGGAGCAAACAGG
RNAcentral lists this ribosomal RNA (253 nucleotides) under uncultured bacterium. RNAcentral describes it as "partial 16S ribosomal RNA". It matches the Rfam family "Bacterial small subunit ribosomal RNA", at positions 524 to 776 of the family's 1533-position model. The record is from RNAcentral.